Molecule: non-coding RNA, 1138 nt
Organism: Peromyscus maniculatus bairdii (prairie deer mouse)
Lineage: Eukaryota; Metazoa; Chordata; Mammalia; Rodentia; Cricetidae
Source: RefSeq, a predicted model, not a curated record
ACAGCCUGCACACAGUGUGGUUAAACUAGAAAUGACAAGGGGGGUCUGCAGUUUUGCUUUGUUCUAUCUUUAAUUAUAUAUGUACAGGCAAGUCUCAGUGAAAGGCAGAAAAAUAAACUGAAAUGGCCUCAUUUCUUAAAUAAUCCAUUUAUUUUUGUCAACUGAAAAAAAAAAUACUACAAUCCUAAGCCAAGCAGCAACCAAAGAAAGCACAAAGGUAAAGGAAAAGGUGAGGCAGGAGAGAGAGAACUAUCAGCUCAGGUUAAUAAACCAGGAGCCCAAUCCUUUGAAAAGUGAAGAAACUGGACUGUUAGCCAAUCUUAGGAGAGGACACCCAAAAGAAAUGAUGGGGGGAUCUGGAGCAGGAGCCCACAUGCCCUACCAAAGCAUAUUUUAUAAGAUAAAGGACACAAGAGGCGCCUACUACUUCACUGUUAUUUUUCACAGCCCUAUAAGUAAUCUACUGAAGGGAGAAGGUAUAAGACAGAGGAAAGAAAAACUGUCCUUUGGAGACGACAUGUUAAACCCAGAAGCUGGAGAACUGUUUCCAAACCUCACUUAACCAAGAGUCAGUGACACAGCUGGACCCUGAGGGAUUACUUCAGAGAAGAUGAUGGACAUCGAAGAAACUCCACAUGGAGUUAACUUUCUUUGUGGCAAGUUAGCCACUGGGCAAGAAAGUGCCCUUGCCUCAACUGCUGACAGUAUGCUGUCCAAAUGGGCAAGGAGACACAAGAAAAAGUGACCCCCGAUCCUUGCCAAGACAAGGUAGUACAGCCCUUCAGAAAACCCCGCUUCACAGAUAAGUCUGUCAGUGUUUGGGAUUAAACCCCGAAACAUCCUAAGGAAGCGCUCUAACACUGAGUUAAAGCCCAGCCUCGACUCAACACUUCUUUCAAUAAUUCAUCAACAAACAAGCCUACACCCCAAAACAUACUCAAUAUUCACUGCAUUAUUUAUAGUGACAAGGUAAGAAGCAAAUUGUGAGUGGCAUACACCACGAUUUACCCUCAACAUUGCCCUUUAAUAGCAGAACUCCUAAGUUUUAGUCAAGGAUGCAGCUAAUUGCCCACCUCUCUUUGAAUAUGGGGACGGCCAUGCAAUAAUGUUCUGGGGAACAAGACGUACUGCCAAAAUC